Molecule: small nuclear RNA, 101 nt
Filed under: Chinchilla lanigera (long-tailed chinchilla)
Lineage: Eukaryota; Metazoa; Chordata; Mammalia; Rodentia; Chinchillidae
Source: RNAcentral
GCUUGCUUUGGCACGCAUAUACUAAAAUUGGAACAAUACAGAGAUUAGCAUGGUCCCUGCACAAGGGUGACACGCAAAUUCUUGAAACAUUCAAUAUUUUU